UACGGAGGGCGCAAGCGUUGUUCGGAAUCACUGGGCGUAAAGCGCGUGUAGGCGGCUUGGCAAGUCGGAUGUGAAAGCCCGAGGCUCAACCUCGGAACUGCACUCGAAACUGCCUGGCUCGAGUCCCGGAGAGGGUGGCGGAAUUCCCGGUGUAGAGGUGAAAUUCGUAGAUAUCGGGAGGAACACCAGCGGCGAAGGCGGCUUCCUGGUCCAUUACUGACGUUCAGGCACGAAAGCGUGGGUAGCAAACAGG
RNAcentral lists this ribosomal RNA (253 nucleotides) under uncultured bacterium. RNAcentral describes it as "partial 16S ribosomal RNA". It matches the Rfam family "Bacterial small subunit ribosomal RNA", at positions 524 to 776 of the family's 1533-position model. The record is from RNAcentral.